GGAGGGGUGCCGGAGCGGCCGAUCGGGGCGGUCUCGAAAACCGUUGUAGCGCUUGCGUUACCGUGGGUUCGAAUCCCACCCCCUCCG
RNAcentral lists this transfer RNA (87 nucleotides) under Chloroflexota bacterium. Its description in RNAcentral is "Chloroflexi bacterium (anaerobic digester metagenome) tRNA-Ser". It matches the Rfam family "tRNA". From Rfam's summary of the family: Transfer RNA (tRNA) molecules are approximately 80 nucleotides in length. Their secondary structure includes four short double-helical elements and three loops (D, anti-codon, and T loops). Lineage: Bacteria; Bacillati; Chloroflexota. The record is from RNAcentral. RNAcentral also lists the same sequence under 2 other names.